This 499-nucleotide ribosomal RNA is filed under the name uncultured bacterium. Its description in RNAcentral is "partial 16S ribosomal RNA". It matches the Rfam family "Bacterial small subunit ribosomal RNA", at positions 899 to 1397 of the family's 1533-position model. The record is from RNAcentral.
ACUCAAAUGAAUUGACGGGGGCCCGCACAAGCGGUGGAGCAUGUGGUUCAAUUCGACGCAACGCGAAGAACCUUACCUGGACUCGAAAUGCAGUCGACCGUCUCAGAGAUGAGGCUUUCCCGCAAGGGACGGCUGUAUAGGUGCUGCAUGGCUGUCGUCAGCUCGUGUCGUGAGAUGUUGGGUUAAGUCCCGCAACGAGCGCAACCCUCAUCCUUAGUUGCUCGCCCGAAAGGGAAGCACCCUAAGGAAACUGCCUCCGAUAAGGGGGAGGAAGGUGGGGAUGACGUCAAGUCCUCAUGGCCUUUAUGCCCAGGGCUACACACGUGCUACAAUGGCCGGUACAGACCGUUGCCAACCCGCGAGGGGGAGCCAAUCGGUAAAAACCGGUCUCAGUUCGGAUUGCAGUCUGCAACUCGGCUGCAUGAAGCUGGAAUCGCUAGUAAUCGCGUAUCAGAACGACGCGGUGAAUACGUUCCCGGGCCUUGUACACACCGCCCGU